GAUACCAAGGACCUCCCCUGAAAUCAGCUGGACGAGAAACCAAAUAUGCCACUCUCCAGCCUCUAAUAAAUAUAAAAGCAAAUGAUCCUCAAAUAACAAGACCAGGAGUCAUAAGACCAAUGGCUGCAAAUGAAAGCAGAAAAUGUUAUCCAAAUCUGUUCCAGCAAUUCUCACUGCCUCCAAAUAAAAUUUAAUAGUCAGAUGAGGUCUUCUGGUUGAAACCAGAGUGGAAAGAAAAGAAGUCAUUUGGACACAGACAUCAUUGGCCGCCCUUUAAAAUGAUCCUUUUAAUUGUAAUAUAUGUUGUUGUAGCUUUACAGUUAUGUAAUUUUAUGGAAAUGUAUUCAUGUCUGCAUUGGCAGAGUUCUUACAUAGUAAUACUGUAAUUAAUUAUCAUUAUACUGUAGAAAGCACCUUUGUGUCAGCAAGUAGUGAUGAAAUGAAUGUAAAAUAAUUGGGGGCAUUUCAUAUAAAAUAUUCCCUAAAUAAUGCAAGAUCUACCAGGUCAACCAUUCAAGAGUUGAACAAACAUACUUCAUAGUGGCACUGUGCUUUAUUGUAAUUUAAAUAUACUGUAUGUCUGCAGUUACUGCUUUGCAAGGUUUUAGACGAGGUUACUAGUUAACAGAAUAUUUCCAGUCAUAAUUGGUGUAAGACAAAACAAGGAUUGUGGGGAGAUAUAAAUAAAGGAAAUACAGAAGGCA
Long non-coding RNA from Bufo gargarizans (Asiatic toad), 704 nucleotides. RefSeq lists it as uncharacterized. The record is from RefSeq and is a predicted model, not a curated record. The transcript is spliced from 4 exons. NCBI's taxonomy places the organism in Eukaryota, Metazoa, Chordata, Amphibia, Anura, Bufonidae.